This 118-nucleotide small nuclear RNA is filed under the name Suricata suricatta (meerkat). RNAcentral's name for it is "U2 spliceosomal RNA (ENSSSUG00005000889.1)". It matches the Rfam family "U2 spliceosomal RNA". From Rfam's summary of the family: U2 is a small nuclear RNA (snRNA) component of the spliceosome (involved in pre-mRNA splicing). Complementary binding between U2 snRNA (in an area lying towards the 5' end but 3' to hairpin I) and the branchpoint sequence (BPS) of the intron results the bulging out of an unpaired adenosine, on the BPS, which initiates a nucleophilic attack at the intronic 5' splice site, thus starting the first of two transesterification reactions that mediate splicing. The record is from Rfam by way of RNAcentral. Lineage: Eukaryota; Metazoa; Chordata; Mammalia; Carnivora; Herpestidae.
AUCGCUUCUUGGACUUUUGGCUAAGAUCAAGUGUACUAUCUGUUCUUAUCAGUUUAAAAAUGGAGGUCAGAUAAUGUGGCUCACUAGUUUAAAAUCAUCCAGUGGCUUCCCAUCACUC